CUCUUGACAGCAGAAUGCUCAACAGGUGAGUUACUUGUUCAGUAUCGAUGUACUCCUACAUCUUAUCUAUAUGCCAUACCAAUGUCAUCAUACUCCUUGGUUAAGAGGAUAACCAACCCAUAUAGCACACAACGACUUCUACUCGAUAAACAUCAUCAUCCUGUAAUGACAUAUCAUUUGAUCAUGAACAUGUUUAAGAAC
This 201-nucleotide long non-coding RNA is filed under the name Elaeis guineensis (African oil palm). RNAcentral describes it as "long non-coding RNA (EGUI_LNC062591)". The record is from RNAcentral. Lineage: Eukaryota; Viridiplantae; Streptophyta; Magnoliopsida; Arecales; Arecaceae.